RNAcentral lists this ribosomal RNA (450 nucleotides) under uncultured bacterium. Its description in RNAcentral is "partial 16S ribosomal RNA". It matches the Rfam family "Bacterial small subunit ribosomal RNA", at positions 354 to 796 of the family's 1533-position model. The record is from RNAcentral.
GUGAGGAAUAUUGGGCAAUGGGCGAAAGCCUGAUCCAGCCAUGCCGCGUGUGUGAAGAAGGUCUUCGGAUUGUAAAGCACUUUAAGUUGGGAGGAAGGGCAGUAAGUUAAUACCUUGCUGUUUUGACGUUACCGACAGAAUAAGCACCGGCUAACUUCGUGCCAGCAGCCGCGGUAAUACGAAGGGUGCAAGCGUUAAUCGGAAUUACUGGGCGUAAAGCGCGCGUAGGUGGUUUUGUAAGUUGGAGGUGAAAUCCCCGGGCUCAACCUGGGAACUGCCUCCAAAACUGCAUGACUAGAGUACGGUAGAGGGUAGUGGAAUUUCCUGUGUAGCGGUGAAAUGCGUAGAUAUAGGAAGGAACACCAGUGGCGAAGGCGACUACCUGGACUGAUACUGACACUGAGGUGCGAAAGCGUGGGGAGCAAACAGGAUUAGAAACCCUUGUAGUCC